GACGAACGCUGGCGGCGUGCUUAACACAUGCAAGUCGAACGGAAAGGCCCUGCUUUUGUGGGGUGCUCGAGUGGCGAACGGGUGAGUAACACGUGAGUAACCUGCCCUUGACUUUGGGAUAACUUCAGGAAACUGGGGCUAAUACCGGAUAGGAGCUCCUGCUGCAUGGUGGGGGUUGGAAAGUUUCGGCGGUUGGGGAUGGACUCGCGGCUUAUCAGCUUGUUGGUGGGGUAGUGGCUUACCAAGGCCUUGACGGGUAGCCGGCCUGAGAGCGUGACCGGCGACAUGAGGACUACGAGAGGGAGCAGUCGCCUACGUGAGGCAGCAGGCGGGAAUAUGGCGCAGUGGGGGCGAGUCAGAUGCAGCGACGCUGCGUGCGUGAUGACGUCCUUCGGGUUAUAAACCGCUGUGGACGGUGACGAACCGUGAGUGACGGUAAUGAGUAAGGAAGCACCGGCUAACUACGUG
RNAcentral lists this ribosomal RNA (468 nucleotides) under uncultured bacterium. Its description in RNAcentral is "partial 16S ribosomal RNA". It matches the Rfam family "Bacterial small subunit ribosomal RNA", at positions 28 to 507 of the family's 1533-position model. The record is from RNAcentral.